UAGCCCAGUGGUGUGAGGCUAAUGGCAUGGAACCGCCCAAGCGCACUUCCCGUCCGAGUAAGCCCCCAUUGGCAUGUUCCUCGGGCGAACACACGAAAAUUGUUGACCUCAUCAGUAAGUUAUCCUCUCCCAACCUCGAAAGCCAGCGAUCAGCUGCUGGUGAGCUUCGCCUCCUCGCCAAACGCAGCGCUGAUAACCGUCUCUGUAUUGCCGAGGCUGGUGCGAUACCACUACUUGUAUCCUUACUCUCAACGUCCGAUCCUCGUACCCAGGAGCAUGCAGUUACCGCUCUUCUGAACCUCUCCAUCUG
RNAcentral lists this unclassified non-coding RNA (310 nucleotides) under Hevea brasiliensis (rubber tree). The record is from RNAcentral. Lineage: Eukaryota; Viridiplantae; Streptophyta; Magnoliopsida; Malpighiales; Euphorbiaceae.